This 397-nucleotide ribosomal RNA is filed under the name uncultured bacterium. RNAcentral's name for it is "partial 16S ribosomal RNA". It matches the Rfam family "Bacterial small subunit ribosomal RNA", at positions 360 to 774 of the family's 1533-position model. The record is from RNAcentral.
AAUAUUGCACAAUGGGGGAAACCCUGAUGCAGCGACGCCGCGUGAGCGAAGAAGGCCUUCGGGUCGUAAAGCUCUGUCCUAAGGGAAGAAACGGACGGUACCUUAGGAGGAAGCCCCGGCUAACUACGUGCCAGCAGCCGCGGUAAUACGUAGGGGGCGAGCGUUAUCCGGAAUUAUUGGGCGUAAAGCGCGCGCAGGCGGUUCUUUAAGUCAGAUGUGAAAGCCCACGGCUUAACCGUGGGACUGCAUUUGAAACUGGAGGGCUUGAGUGUCGGAGAGGGCAGUGGAAUUCCCAGUGUAGCGGUGGAAUGCGUAGAUAUUGGGAGGAACACCAGUGGCGAAGGCGACUGCCUGGACGAUAACUGACGCUGAGGCACGAAAGCUAGGGGAGCAAACA